CCUACGGGAGGCAGCAGUGGGGAAUUUUGGACAAUGGGCGCAAGCCUGAUCCAGCAAUGCCGCGUGCAGGAUGAAGGCCUUCGGGUUGUAAACUGCUUUUGUACGGAACGAAAAAGCUCUCUCUAAUACAGGGGGUGAAUGACGGUACCGUAAGAAUAAGCACCGGCUAACUACGUGCCAGCAGCCGCGGUAAUACGUAGGGUGCAAGCGUUAAUCGGAAUUACUGGGCGUAAAGCGUGCGCAGGCGGUUUUGUAAGACAGAGGUGAAAUCCCCGGGCUCAACCUGGGAACUGCCUUUGUGACUGCAAAGCUGGAGUGCGGCAGAGGGGGAUGGAAUUCCGCGUGUAGCAGUGAAAUGCGUAGAUAUGCGGAGGAACACCGAUGGCGAAGGCAAUCCCCUGGGCCUGCACUGACGCUCAUGCACGAAAGCGUGGGGAGCAAACAGGACUAGAUACCCUGGUAGUCCACGCCCUAAACGAUGUCAACUGGUUGUUGGGAAUUCACUUUCUCAGUAACGAAGCUAACGCGUGAAGUUGACCGCCUGGGGAGUACGGCCGCAAGGUUAAAACUCAAAGGAAUUGACGGGG
RNAcentral lists this ribosomal RNA (587 nucleotides) under Variovorax sp. enrichment culture. RNAcentral's name for it is "bacterial SSU rRNA". It matches the Rfam family "Bacterial small subunit ribosomal RNA", at positions 338 to 918 of the family's 1533-position model. Lineage: Bacteria; Pseudomonadati; Pseudomonadota; Betaproteobacteria; Burkholderiales; Comamonadaceae. The record is from RNAcentral.